AUACAGUAUGUAUAUAGGGGUCAGGGGACGAUAUACAGGGUCAGUAGAUACAGUAUGUAUAGGGGUCAGGGGACUAUAUACAGUAUGUAUAGGGGUCAGGUGACUAUAUACAGUAUGUAUAGGGGUCAGGGGACUAUAUACAGGGUCAGUAGAUACAGUAUGUGUAGGCGUCAGGUGACUAUAUACAGUAUGUAUAGGGGUCAGGGGACUAUAUACAGGGUCAGUAGAUGCAUUAUGUAUAGGGGUCAGGUGACUAUAUACAGGGUCAGUAGAUACAGUAUGUAUAUAGGGGUCAGGGGACUAUAUACAGGGUCAGUAGAUACAGUAUGUAUAGGGGUCAGGUGACUAUAUACAGGGUCAGGAGAUACAGUAUGUAUAUAGGGGUCAGGGGACUAUAUACAGGGUCAGUAGAUGCAUUAUGUGUAGGGGUCAGGUGACUAUAUACAGGGUCAGUAGAUACAGUAUGUGUAGGCGUCAGGUGACUAUAUACAGGGUCAGUAGAUACAGUAUGUGUAGGGGUCAGGUGACUAUAUACAGGGUCAGUAGAUACAGUAUGUGUAGGGGUCAGGUGACUAUAUACAGGGUCAGUAGAUACAGUAUGUAUAUAGGGGUCAGGGGACGAUAUACAGGGUCAGUAGAUACAGUAUGUAUAGGGGUCAGGUGACUAUAUACAGUAUGUAUAGGGGUCAGGGG
Molecule: long non-coding RNA, 693 nt
Organism: Oncorhynchus tshawytscha (Chinook salmon)
Lineage: Eukaryota; Metazoa; Chordata; Actinopteri; Salmoniformes; Salmonidae
Source: Ensembl